ACCUGGUUCGCUGAGUUGGUAGAGCGCUCCACCGGAAUUGAAGAGGUCUCUGGUUUGAUUCCAGGACCAGGCG
Ixodes scapularis (black-legged tick) is the source of this 73-nucleotide non-coding RNA. NCBI's taxonomy places the organism in Eukaryota, Metazoa, Arthropoda, Arachnida, Ixodida, Ixodidae. The record is from Rfam.